AGUGAACGCUGGCGGUAGGCCUAACACAUGCAAGUCGAACGGCAGCACAGUAAGAGCUUGCUCUUACGGGUGGCGAGUGGCGGACGGGUGAGGAAUACAUCGGAAUCUACUUUUUCGUGGGGGAUAACGUAGGGAAACUUACGCUAAUACCGCAUACGACCUACGGGUGAAAGCAGGGGAUCUUCGGACCUUGCGCGAUUGAAUGAGCCGAUGUCGGAUUAGCUAGUUGGCGGGGUAAAGGCCCACCAAGGCGACGAUCCGUAGCUGGUCUGAGAGGAUGAUCAGCCACACUGGAACUGAGGCACGGUCCAGACUCCUACGGGAGGCAGCAGUGGGGAAUAUUGGACAAUGGGCGCAAGCCUGAUCCAGCCAUACCACGUGGGUGAAGAAGGCCUUCGGGUUGUAAAGCCCUUUUGUUGGGAAAGAAAAGCAGCAGGUUAAUACCCCGCUGUUCUGACGGUACCCAAAGAAUAAGCACCGGCUAACUUCGUG
This 492-nucleotide ribosomal RNA is filed under the name uncultured bacterium. RNAcentral's name for it is "partial 16S ribosomal RNA". It matches the Rfam family "Bacterial small subunit ribosomal RNA", at positions 29 to 507 of the family's 1533-position model. The record is from RNAcentral.